CAGAAAUAGCAGCUGUUUAUUUGGUCUUUUAAGCUCUCAUGAGGAUGAGUUGACUCACUCUGGUUGUUAGGAGGACCCAGCGGACCAGAUGAUGAUCCUGCUUUCAGGAGUGACACAUCCUACCCGUGCACUCUGGACAAGCCUUUGGAUGUCACCACCUCUGUCUGGGCUACAAGCUAUUGGCAAGUCUUCCAGCUGAAAGUGCCAGUUGCACAGUCCCAAGGCGCUCCACAGCAUUCCCAGGUCGCCGACAGUUGACUCCAGAGACUGCUUGCUUCCAAGCCAGGCAAGGAGAUUGGAUUUUAAGAAAAGCACAUGACUACGUGAUGGAGCAACAAGGGAGCCUGAUUUUCGUGAUUCCAAAUUCUGUCUUCCUGGACUCUGAACCUCAUUGUUUCUCUUACUUUGAAGAAAAGAUUGUUAAAAAUCCUCAAAUUACUGCAUAAACACUAAUUUUGCCUAUUUAUUCCCAUAAUAUAAAAAGC
This 485-nucleotide long non-coding RNA is filed under the name Equus caballus (horse). Its description in RNAcentral is "lncRNA (ENSECAG00000039121.3)". Lineage: Eukaryota; Metazoa; Chordata; Mammalia; Perissodactyla; Equidae. The record is from RNAcentral.